This 315-nucleotide ribosomal RNA is filed under the name uncultured bacterium. Its description in RNAcentral is "bacterial SSU rRNA". It matches the Rfam family "Bacterial small subunit ribosomal RNA", at positions 28 to 334 of the family's 1533-position model. The record is from RNAcentral.
GAUAAACGCUGGCGGCGCACAUAAGACAUGCAAGUCGAACGGACUUAACCAUUAGUUUACUAUUGGAGCGGUUAGUGGCGGACUGGUGAGUAACACGUAAGUAACCUGCCUAUCAGAGGGGAACAACAGUUAGAAAUGACUGCUAAUACCGCAUAUGCCAUAUCCAUUGCAUGAUGGAAGUGGGAAAGAAGCAAUUCGCUGAUAGAUGGACUUGCGACUGAUUAGAUAGUUGGUGGGGUAAAGGCCUACCAAGUCGACGAUCAGUAGCCGAACUGAGAGGUUAAACGGCCACAUUGGGACUGAGAUACGGCCCAG